GCAGGGAUGCCGGAGCGGUCAAACGGGAUAGCCUCAAGAGCUAUUGGCUCAGUGCCUUCGAAGGUUCAAAUCCUUCUCCCUGCA
Molecule: transfer RNA, 84 nt
Filed under: Candidatus Woesearchaeota archaeon
Lineage: Archaea; Nanobdellati; Candidatus Woesearchaeota
Description: tRNA-Leu
Rfam family: tRNA
About the family: Transfer RNA (tRNA) molecules are approximately 80 nucleotides in length. Their secondary structure includes four short double-helical elements and three loops (D, anti-codon, and T loops).
Source: RNAcentral